UACGUAGGGUGCAAGCGUUAAUCGGAAUUACUGGGCGUAAAGCGUGCGCAGGCGGUUCGCUAAGACAGAUGUGAAAUCCCCGGGCUUAACCUGGGAACUGCAUUUGUGACUGGCGGGCUAGAGUAUGGCAGAGGGGGGUGGAAUUCCACGUGUAGCAGUGAAAUGCGUAGAGAUGUGGAGGAACACCGAUGGCGAAGGCAGCCCCCUGGGUUAACACUGACGCUCAGGCACGAAAGCGUGGGGAGCAAACAGG
This 253-nucleotide ribosomal RNA is filed under the name uncultured bacterium. RNAcentral's name for it is "partial 16S ribosomal RNA". It matches the Rfam family "Bacterial small subunit ribosomal RNA", at positions 524 to 776 of the family's 1533-position model. The record is from RNAcentral.